AGUGAACGCUGGCGGCAGGCCUAACACAUGCAAGUCGAGCGGCAGCGGGUUCCCGCGAGGGGAUGCCGGCGAGCGGCGGACGGGUGAGGAACACAUCGGAAUCUGCCUGGUUGUGGGGGAUAACGUAGGGAAACUUACGCUAAUACCGCAUGAGACCCUGAGUCGACGGACUGGGGGUGAAAGUGAGGGGCCUUCGGGCCUCACGCGACCAGAUGAGCCGAUGUCGGAUUAGCUAGUUGGCGGGGUAACGGCCCGCCAAGGCGACGAUCCGUAGCUGGUCUGAGAGGAUGAUCAGCCACACUGGGACUGAGACACGGCCCAGACUCCUACGGGAGGCAGCAGUGGGGAAUUUUGGGCAAUGGGCGAAAGCCUGACCCAGCAACGCCGCGUGAAGGAUGAAA
RNAcentral lists this ribosomal RNA (401 nucleotides) under uncultured bacterium. Its description in RNAcentral is "bacterial SSU rRNA". It matches the Rfam family "Bacterial small subunit ribosomal RNA", at positions 30 to 413 of the family's 1533-position model. The record is from RNAcentral.